Molecule: ribosomal RNA, 1489 nt
Filed under: Lactiplantibacillus plantarum
Lineage: Bacteria; Bacillati; Bacillota; Bacilli; Lactobacillales; Lactobacillaceae
Description: bacterial SSU rRNA
Rfam family: Bacterial small subunit ribosomal RNA
Source: RNAcentral
GACGAACGCUGGCGGCGUGCCUAAUACAUGCAAGUCGAACGAACUCUGGUAUUGAUUGGUGCUUGCAUCAUGAUUUACAUUUGAGUGAGUGGCGAACUGGUGAGUAACACGUGGGAAACCUGCCCAGAAGCGGGGGAUAACACCUGGAAACAGAUGCUAAUACCGCAUAACAACUUGGACCGCAUGGUCCGAGCUUGAAAGAUGGCUUCGGCUAUCACUUUUGGAUGGUCCCGCGGCGUAUUAGCUAGAUGGUGGGGUAACGGCUCACCAUGGCAAUGAUACGUAGCCGACCUGAGAGGGUAAUCGGCCACAUUGGGACUGAGACACGGCCCAAACUCCUACGGGAGGCAGCAGUAGGGAAUCUUCCACAAUGGACGAAAGUCUGAUGGAGCAACGCCGCGUGAGUGAAGAAGGGUUUCGGCUCGUAAAACUCUGUUGUUAAAGAAGAACAUAUCUGAGAGUAACUGUUCAGGUAUUGACGGUAUUUAACCAGAAAGCCACGGCUAACUACGUGCCAGCAGCCGCGGUAAUACGUAGGUGGCAAGCGUUGUCCGGAUUUAUUGGGCGUAAAGCGAGCGCAGGCGGUUUUUUAAGUCUGAUGUGAAAGCCUUCGGCUCAACCGAAGAAGUGCAUCGGAAACUGGGAAACUUGAGUGCAGAAGAGGACAGUGGAACUCCAUGUGUAGCGGUGAAAUGCGUAGAUAUAUGGAAGAACACCAGUGGCGAAGGCGGCUGUCUGGUCUGUAACUGACGCUGAGGCUCGAAAGUAUGGGUAGCAAACAGGAUUAGAUACCCUGGUAGUCCAUACCGUAAACGAUGAAUGCUAAGUGUUGGAGGGUUUCCGCCCUUCAGUGCUGCAGCUAACGCAUUAAGCAUUCCGCCUGGGGAGUACGGCCGCAAGGCUGAAACUCAAAGGAAUUGACGGGGGCCCGCACAAGCGGUGGAGCAUGUGGUUUAAUUCGAAGCUACGCGAAGAACCUUACCAGGUCUUGACAUACUAUGCAAAUCUAAGAGAUUAGACGUUCCCUUCGGGGACAUGGAUACAGGUGGUGCAUGGUUGUCGUCAGCUCGUGUCGUGAGAUGUUGGGUUAAGUCCCGCAACGAGCGCAACCCUUAUUAUCAGUUGCCAGCAUUAAGUUGGGCACUCUGGUGAGACUGCCGGUGACAAACCGGAGGAAGGUGGGGAUGACGUCAAAUCAUCAUGCCCCUUAUGACCUGGGCUACACACGUGCUACAAUGGAUGGUACAACGAGUUGCGAACUCGUGAGAGUAAGCUAAUCUCUUAAAGCCAUUCUCAGUUCGGAUUGUAGGCUGCAACUCGCCUACAUGAAGUCGGAAUCGCUAGUAAUCGCGGAUCAGCAUGCCGCGGUGAAUACGUUCCCGGGCCUUGUACACACCGCCCGUCACACCAUGAGAGUUUGUAACACCCAAAGUCGGUGGGGUAACCUUUUAGGAACCAGCCGCCUAAGGUGGGACAGAUGAUUAGGGUG